Non-coding RNA from Camellia sinensis, 1246 nucleotides. NCBI's taxonomy places the organism in Eukaryota, Viridiplantae, Streptophyta, Magnoliopsida, Ericales, Theaceae. The record is from RefSeq and is a predicted model, not a curated record.
GUUUGUUGCACGAGGAGCAAUUAACAAAUAGCAUUCACACAAUCAGUUGGUGUGGAAUCCACUUCAAUGAUUAUAUAAUGGAUAUUUUAUUUAAUAGCAUCGGUACCCAAUUUGUAUACAUAUCAUCGGUACCCAAUUUCUUGCUCACUGUAGAACUGAUGAGUGUUUUUUUGAGGUAUAUAAAUAUGUACUCUAUUCUCUGUUAGUUGCAAUAUUGAUCUUUUGCCAAUACUUAACAUGUGAAAUUCAACGGUGCAAUACUUAAGCCUCGUUUGGGAACAGGCUAUUUUAGUAACUUUUUGGCUUUUUACGAAAAGAUGUACAGAAAAGUAGAGAGGUGAUGUGACUAGUUUUAGUUGGCUUUUUGACUAAAAUAGUCAGUCCCCAAACGAGGCCUUAAUUGUUGUGGUGCUAUCAGAUUGCUAGAGAAAGCUUGAGAAUUUAUAAGCGUGAGAUUCAAGAAAAUGUUUUGGAAAUUGUUGGCAUUUCCCCUGAGCAGGCUGAAGCAAAAUUUGGCUAUCUUUUGGAGGCUUUAGACAUGGGUGCUCCUCCACAUGAAAAUGCUGAAGGAUGGGAAGUUGUUUGAGUCUCAAGUGGAAUAAAAUAGAUAUCAUUCUAGAAUGGGUGCUUUCAAAAUAAAAUUUCCAUAAUGAAGUUUACAAGCUACUCCUCAGAUCCUUCACAAAUCCGAUUAAUGGUAUGGUUUGGUUUUGUGAGUUUAAAUCCUUAAAAGCCAUUGAAGCCUCAAUGAAACUUAUGUCUAUCAGACCCUUUCAGAUCCAAUAUCCUUUCAGAUCAAAGGAAAAGCUCCAUUCAUCCUCCACGUAGAAGAGGAAAAGAAUAGCGUACUGCUUUUAAUCCUCAUAGAAGAACCAUCCUAAAAUUCCUAAUGUGAGUUUUCCUUUUAAAUUUUUUCUCCUUUUCAUUAUACAAUAUAUGCGCCUUUUAGGCCAUCGACUACUCUUUCUAUCUCUCCCUGUCUCUAUUUUCUUUUAUUUUAAUUCCCUAGCUCUAAACUUCAGUUACAACAGAAAAUAAUUGUGAAAGGCCAGUUAGAACUAUUGGGGUGCAUUUGAUAUUGAAGAUAAAGCCUCUGAAAUUUGAUGUGAGCCCAAAUCAAGUGACAAGAAACAAUAUCAGAAGUGAAAAGAAAGAAGGUCAAUAAUUUCAAAUACUUUUAUUUGGCUAUAUUUUAGAGCAAUAAUUUCAAUUUUAUAGUUGUUUUUAAUUGAUGACUUUUACAUCA